AAUAACUCUAUGCUACAGCGUAUAUGCUUGCGAAUAAGGCGCGAGUGUCUCUACCCGACUACCGUAAAUAGUUGGACUACGAUGGAAGGUUUUU
This 94-nucleotide non-coding RNA is filed under the name pig gut metagenome. RNAcentral describes it as "Purine riboswitch". It matches the Rfam family "Purine riboswitch aptamer". Rfam says of the family: Riboswitches are metabolite binding domains within certain messenger RNAs that serve as precision sensors for their corresponding targets. The record is from RNAcentral.